ACUACAAAUCCCCCACUACCAACAGGUAAAAACUACAAAUCCCCCACUAUUAACAGGUAGAAACUACAAAUCCCCCACCACCAACAGGUAAAAACUACAAAUUCCCCAGUACCAACAGGCAAAAAACUACAAAUCCCCCACUAUUAACAGGUAAAAACUACAAAUCCCCCACUACCAGCAGGUAAAAACUACAAAUCCCCCACUACCAACAGGUAAAAACUACAAAUACCCCACUAUUAACAGGUAAAAACUACAAAUCCCCCACCACCAACAGGUAAAAACUACAAAUCCCCCACCACCAACAGGUUAAAAAAAGUACAAAUACCCCACCACCAACAGACAAAACUACAAAUCCCCCACUACCACAAGAUAAAAAACUGCAAAGCCCCCCACUACCAACAGGUAUACACUUCAAAGCCCCACUACAAACAGGUAAAACUAUAAAUCCCCACUACCAACAGCUAUAAACUACAAAUAUCCUACAACCAACAGGUAUAAACUACAAAUCCUCCACUAACAACAGCUAUAAACUACAAAUCCUCCACUACCAACAGGUAUAAACUACAAAUCCCCCACUACUAAUAAUUAUAAACUACAAACCCCCACUUUGAACAGGUAAAAAACUACAAAUCCUCCACUAACAACAGCUUUAAACUACAAAUCCUCCACUAACAACAGCUAUAAACUACAAAUCCUCCACUACUAACAGGUAUAAACUACAAACCCCCCACUACCAACAGGUAUAAACUACAAACCCCCAACUACCAACAGGUAUAAACUACAAAUCCUCACUUUGAACAGGUAAAAAACUACAAAUCCUCCACUAACAACAGCUUUAAACUACAAAUCCCCCACUACUAACAAUUAUAAACUACAAACCCCCACCACCAACAGGUAAAAAACUACAAAUCCUCCACUACUAAAC
Non-coding RNA from Epinephelus lanceolatus (giant grouper), 925 nucleotides. The record is from RefSeq and is a predicted model, not a curated record. Lineage: Eukaryota; Metazoa; Chordata; Actinopteri; Perciformes; Serranidae.